Long non-coding RNA from Mytilus trossulus (common blue mussel), 658 nucleotides. RefSeq lists it as uncharacterized. The record is from RefSeq and is a predicted model, not a curated record. The transcript has 3 exons. NCBI's taxonomy places the organism in Eukaryota, Metazoa, Mollusca, Bivalvia, Mytilida, Mytilidae.
UUAAUGACUGUUCUGCCUCAGUAAGGAAAUGUGUUGAGUGUCUUAACUAUUACAUCGCAGAGGGUGGAAAGGCAUUUUAAGAUCUUGAAACCAUCAUAGAAAAACUCUGCACAUCCAGUGAAAAGAAGAAAGAACUGAAAUCCAAAUUGCUAAAUGGGAAGCGAUAUAUCAAAUCAGAUAUCAAGGUACAUAUCCAAAAAGAGAAUGCUGUUCCGGAUCAUUGCCAAAUGUUUGCACUAAGUGAUAGUGAAAAGUGCUUCUCCCAAAGUUGUAACACCCAGCAUACACACAGUUGUGAACAGUGUAUUGACUUGGCAGACUUUUUAGCUGAAAUAAGUACUCUAACACAAAAUGGUACAUGGGACAAUAAAGAUUCCAUUGUAUUCCAGGUUGAAAAUGCUGUAGAAGCUAUAAAAGAUUGGAAAGUCAUGCUAUGAGAGCUAGGAAUCAAGAAGGUGCAAAACAAGAUCUGCUUAAGAAUUUAAAUGAAAAUCAAGCACUUAUCACAUGUGACUGGGCGAUGAAAUUUCUACCACGCAAAUUUAGAGAAGGUCAGAGUGACUGGUUCGCCAAACGUGGAAUCAACUGGCACACUUCAGUAACUUUAUACAAACAAGGGGAAGAACUAAAGACAAUUACACAUGUACACAAUUUUUCA